GCUUUACUAUAACUUGACAUUGACUUUGGGCUCCUUUUGCGCAGUCUAGGUGGGAGGCUUUGAUAUCUUGUUUCGGCAAGAUGGAGCCGUUUUUGAGAGACCACUCUGAAAGAGCUAAAAUUCUAAUAGUGAUCCUUGAAUCAGGAACACUUGACAGUGUCAGGCGGGUAGUUUUUCUGAGGCGGAAACCUCCUAAAAAGUAACGGAGGUGCGCAAAGGUUCCCUCAGGCUGGACGGAAAUCAGCUGUAGAGUGUAAAGGCAUAAGGGAGCUUGACUGCAAGACCUACAAGUCGAGCAGGGGCGAAAGCCGGCCUUAGUGAUCCGACGGUACCAAGUGGAAGGGCCGUCGCUCAACGGAUAAAAGUUA
This 368-nucleotide ribosomal RNA is filed under the name uncultured alga. RNAcentral describes it as "bacterial LSU rRNA". It matches the Rfam family "Bacterial large subunit ribosomal RNA", at positions 2098 to 2465 of the family's 2925-position model. The record is from RNAcentral.